RNAcentral lists this ribosomal RNA (491 nucleotides) under uncultured bacterium. RNAcentral describes it as "partial 16S ribosomal RNA". It matches the Rfam family "Bacterial small subunit ribosomal RNA", at positions 29 to 506 of the family's 1533-position model. The record is from RNAcentral.
AGUGAACGCUGGCGGUAGGCCUAACACAUGCAAGUCGAACGGCAGCACAGUAAGAGCUUGCUCUUACGGGUGGCGAGUGGCGGACGGGUGAGGAAUACAUCGGAAUCUACUUUUUCGUGGGGGAUAACGUAGGGAAACUUACGCUAAUACCGCAUACGACCUACGGGUGAAAGCAGGGGAUCUUCGGACCUUGCGCGAUUGAAUGAGCCGAUGUCGGAUUAGCUAGUUGGCGGGGUAAAGGCCCACCAAGGCGACGAUCCGUAGCUGGUCUGAGAGGAUGAUCAGCCACACUGGAACUGGGACACGGUCCAGACUCCUACGGGAGGCAGCAGUGGGGAAUAUUGGACAGUGGGCGCAAGCCUGAUCCAGCCAUACCGCGUGGGUGAAGAAGGCCUUCGGGUUGUAAAGCCCUUUUGUUGGGAAAGAAAAGCAGCAGGUUAAUACCCCGCUGUUCUGACGGUACCCAAAGAAUAAGCACCGGCUAACUUCGU